RNAcentral lists this ribosomal RNA (428 nucleotides) under uncultured bacterium. RNAcentral describes it as "bacterial SSU rRNA". It matches the Rfam family "Bacterial small subunit ribosomal RNA", at positions 355 to 775 of the family's 1533-position model. The record is from RNAcentral.
UGGGGAAUCUUGGGCAAUGGGGGAAACCCUGACCCAGCGACGCCGUGUGGGGGACGAAGGCCUUCGGGUUGUAAACCCCUGUUAGGUGGGACGAAUGCCUCCCCGUAAAUAGCGAGGAGGCUUGACGGUACCACCAGAGAAAGCCCCGGCUAACUCCGUGCCAGCAGCCGCGGUAAUACGGAGGGGGCUAGUGUUGUUCGGAAUUACUGGGCGUAAAGGGCGCGCAGGCGGCUUGGCAAGUCGAGUGUGAAAUCCCUUGGCUUAACUAAGGAAUGGCGCUCGAAACUACCUCGCUAGAGGGCGAGAGAGGGAAGUGGAACUCUCGGUGUAGGGGUGAAAUCUGUAGAUAUCGAGAGGAACACCGGUGGCGAAGGCGGCUUCCUGGCUCGCAUCUGACGCUGAGGCGCGAAAGCGUGGGGAGCAAACAG